GACGAACGCUGGCGGCGUGCUUAACACAUGCAAGUCGAACGGAAAGGCCCUGCUUUUGUGGGGUGCUCGAGUGGCGAACGGGUGAGUAACACGUGAGUAACCUGCCCUUGACUUUGGGAUAACUUCAGGAAACUGGGGCUAAUACCGGAUAGGAGCUCCUGCUGCAUGGUGGGGGUUGGAAAGUUUCGGCGGUUGGGGAUGGACUCGCGGCUUAUCAGCUUGUUGGUGGGGUAGUGGCUUACCAAGGCUUUGACGGGUAGCCGGCCUGAGAGGGUGACCGGCCACAUUGGGACUGAGGUACGGCCCAGUCUCCUACGGGAGGCAGCAGUGGGGAAUAUUGCACAAUGGGCGGAAGCCUGAUGCAGCAACGCCGCGUGCGGGAUGACGGCCUUCGGGUUGUAAACCGCUUUCGCCUGUGACGAAGCGUGAGUGACGGUAAUGGGUAAAGAAGCACCGGCUAACUACGUG
RNAcentral lists this ribosomal RNA (468 nucleotides) under uncultured bacterium. Its description in RNAcentral is "partial 16S ribosomal RNA". It matches the Rfam family "Bacterial small subunit ribosomal RNA", at positions 28 to 507 of the family's 1533-position model. The record is from RNAcentral.